This 1407-nucleotide unclassified non-coding RNA is filed under the name Hevea brasiliensis (rubber tree). Lineage: Eukaryota; Viridiplantae; Streptophyta; Magnoliopsida; Malpighiales; Euphorbiaceae. The record is from RNAcentral.
GGCCGCCGUCACUUUACCAGCAGAAGAAACACUCUGUAAAUAGAAAAAUACAGAGUGAUAGUACUGGAUUUUGUUAUAGAGAGAGGAGAAAUGAGUCUCACCGGAGUAACAUUGUUGGUCACACUCAUGGUGGUGGCCGCCGUCACUUUACCGGCAAAUGCCUGUCUGCCGGCGGACCAAGCAGCAUUGAUGGAUAUCAAAGCAGCUCUUAAGGAGCCAUAUUUGGGCAUUUUCAACACAUGGACCGGCAGCAACUGUUGCCAGGGCUGGCAUGGUGUUAGUUGUGACCCGACUACUCAACGGGUUGCAGACAUUGUUCUUCGGGGAGAAUCCGAAGAUCCGAUUUACGAGAAAGCCGGCCGGUCUGGUUACAUGACAGGUUCACUCUCCCCUUCUCUCUGCAAACUAGACAAGCUCACUACACUCAUCGUCGCCGACUGGAAAGAUAUCUCCGGCGAAAUUCCGGCUUGUGUCACUUCAUUACCAGAUCUCCGAAUCCUUGAGCUCAUCGGCAACAAAAUCACCGGUCAAAUACCGGAAAACAUCGGUCAGCUGAGUAAACUCACUGUUCUAAACCUCGCCGAUAAUAAAAUCUGCGGUUCAAUUCCUGCCUCCAUUGUCAACCUCGGAAAACUAAAGCACCUCGAACUCAGCAACAAUCAACUCACCGGCGAAAUCCCGUCCGAUAUCGGAAAACUCGGAAUGAUGAGCCGAGCACUACUCAACAAAAACAAACUUACAGGUUCAAUCCCUAACUCAAUCACUCAACUUCGCCGGUUAGCCGAUCUAGAUCUAUCAAUGAACCAAAUCACCGGUUCACUCCCAGCUCAGCUCGGUUCAAUGCCGGUUCUCUCCACUCUAAACCUCGAUUCCAACCAAAUCACCAGUUCAAUCCCCACAAAUCUACUUAGCAGCAGCGGAUUAAACAUCUUAAACUUAAGCAGAAACUUAUUAGAAGGAGAAUUACCAGAUGUAUUUUGCACAAAAACGUACUUCACACAUCUGGAUUUAUCAUACAAUAAUCUUCGAGGUUCAAUUCCAAAAUCAUUAUCAUCAGCUAAGUUCAUUGGUCAUUUGGAUUUAAGCCAUAAUCACCUUUGUGGCUCGAUUCCAAACGGGUCACCCUUCGAUCAUCUAGAAGCUUCUUCUUUCUCUAAUAAUGAUUGUUUGUGUGGAUCGCCAUUACGUACUUGUUAAUUCUUUUUGUUUACUUACUAAGUUUGUAAUUAAUCGAAAUUAUCGGUUGAUUACGCAUAAAUGGAUAUGUAAUUGUGUAUUAUGUUGUGUCAUGAUAAAAAAAAAAAAAAUCUUAUUCUGUUUAUAUUAAUUAUUAUUAUUAUUAUUGCUAAGCAAUAUAAAGGGUUAUGCGGUUGUAUCAUGCAUGCACGUGAAAACGCGUGACAGUUU